This is a non-coding RNA of Pelobates cultripes (western spadefoot toad), 202 nucleotides long. The record is from the annotation of a GenBank genome assembly. NCBI's taxonomy places the organism in Eukaryota, Metazoa, Chordata, Amphibia, Anura, Pelobatidae.
CCUCCACUAGUCCUUGCAGCACCGCGAAUGACACUGGCCUCCUCGUAUCCACCGAUUUCUUACCCCUCCGAAAACCUCUUAUGGCUUGCCUGACCAAGAAAUGUUUCGUUAUAUCCUCCCAUCCAUUAAACUUAAAUAGGAAGGCCAACACCGACAUGUGCCUGUCAACCAUAGCUGGUGAAGCCUUCCUGGAAAAAAGUCG